ACACGUACCGGACAAACGUUAUUCGGAAUCACUGGGCUUAAAGAGUGCGUAGGCGGCCAUGAAGGUCAGGUGUGAAAUCCCACAGCUCAACUGUGGAACUGCGCUUGAAACCACAUGGCUUGAGGGAGACAGGGGUGAGCGGAACUGAUGGUGGAGCGGUGAAAUGCGUUGAUAUCAUCAGGAACACCGGUGGCGAAGGCGGCUCACUGGGUCUCUUCUGACGCUGAGGCACGAAAGCUAGGGUAGCGAACGGGAUUAGAUACCCCGGUAGUCCUAGCAGUAAACGAUGAGCACUAGUUCGAGGGGGCUACCACACCCUCUCGGACGUAGCGAAAGUGUUAAGUGCUCCGCCUGGGGAGUAUGGUCGCAAGGCUGAA
Molecule: ribosomal RNA, 377 nt
Filed under: uncultured bacterium
Lineage: Bacteria
Description: bacterial SSU rRNA
Rfam family: Bacterial small subunit ribosomal RNA
Source: RNAcentral